This 476-nucleotide ribosomal RNA is filed under the name uncultured organism. RNAcentral's name for it is "partial 16S ribosomal RNA". It matches the Rfam family "Bacterial small subunit ribosomal RNA", at positions 329 to 797 of the family's 1533-position model. The record is from RNAcentral.
ACGUACACUCCUGCGGGAGGCAGCAGUGGGGAAUAUUGCACAAUGGGCGCAAGCCUGAUGCAGCCAUGCCGCGUGUAUGAAGAAGGCCUUCGGGUUGUAAAGUACUUUCAGCGGGGAGGAAGGUGUUGAGGUUAAUAACCUCAGCAAUUGACGUUACCCGCAGAAGAAGCACCGGCUAACUCCGUGCCAGCAGCCGCGGUAAUACGGAGGGUGCAAGCGUUAAUCGGAAUUACUGGGCGUAAAGCGCACGCAGGCGGUCUGUCAAGUCGGAUGUGAAAUCCCCGGGCUCAACCUGGGAACUGCAUUCGAAACUGGCAGGCUAGAGUCUUGUAGAGGGGGGUAGAAUUCCAGGUGUAGCGGUGAAAUGCGUAGAGAUCUGGAGGAAUACCGGUGGCGAAGGCGGCCCCCUGGACAAAGACUGACGCUCAGGUGCGAAAGCGUGGGGAGCAAACAGGAUUAGAUACCCCUGUAGUCCC